GAUGAAGAACGUAGCGAAAUGCGAUAAUUGAUGUGAAUUGCAGAAUUCCGUGAAUCAUCGAGUCUUUGAACACACAUUGCGCCUCAUGGCAUUCCGUGAGGCAUGCCCAUCUCACCGUUAGAAAAUAUUCUCAAAUUUUAGUUUUGUGCUAAAAUUUGGAUCAUGUCAAGGAAGCUAUUACUAUUAUUGUGAUCGCUCUUUGGAAAUUGAUAGGUCUUUGAGUUGCUACUCAUAGAACGUGAUGAAUCUUUCUUCGUUCUAUUGUAAUUCACUCUGGUAGUCCUAAAACUUGUAUGCCUGUGGCAUAUCUUGUAAUUUGACCUGAGAUUGGGUAGGGAUACCCGCUGAACUUAAGCAUAUCAAUAAGCGGAGGA
This 374-nucleotide unclassified non-coding RNA is filed under the name soil metagenome. RNAcentral's name for it is "partial contains internal transcribed spacer 2 and large subunit ribosomal RNA". The stretch from base 1 to 120 matches the Rfam family "5.8S ribosomal RNA", at positions 35 to 154 of the family's 154-position model. The record is from RNAcentral.